This 62-nucleotide small RNA is filed under the name Cytobacillus oceanisediminis. RNAcentral's name for it is "Bacillus oceanisediminis Bacillaceae-1 RNA". It matches the Rfam family "Bacillaceae-1 RNA". Lineage: Bacteria; Bacillati; Bacillota; Bacilli; Caryophanales; Bacillaceae. The record is from RNAcentral.
AAAAAAGGAACUCAGACUUAGAGCGCAACGUCCUGUGGCAACGUCUGAGUGACUCACAUUCU